RNAcentral lists this non-coding RNA (85 nucleotides) under human gut metagenome. RNAcentral's name for it is "Glycine riboswitch". It matches the Rfam family "Glycine riboswitch aptamer", at positions 9 to 86 of the family's 94-position model. Rfam says of the family: This family represents the bacterial glycine riboswitch. The record is from RNAcentral.
GAACUCUGGAGAAUCCCGCUACAUGCGGGUGCCGAAGGUGCAAGGUCUUUGGACCGAAUCUCUCAGGCAAAAGGACAGAGAAAGG